Molecule: long non-coding RNA, 1042 nt
Organism: Astatotilapia calliptera (eastern happy)
Lineage: Eukaryota; Metazoa; Chordata; Actinopteri; Cichliformes; Cichlidae
Source: Ensembl
GGGGUCAGAUUAGGUCAGAAUGGCACCUUUGUCAGGCUGAUUCAGGCCCCCGAGCCUUAUGUUUGCCACCUCUGUCCUAAACAAAACAACAGGGGUGCUCAUAUGGAAAAGAAAUAGAAAAAACUUAUAAAAGACUUGCAUAAGAUGUGGCCUACUUCAUAUAGUAAAUCAUAUAAGGCUUAUAUGAUUUACUCAUGAAAGUGGCCACUUUCUCAUUACUUUCAUAUAUUGUUUUAGUAAGUAUCCAAAACAUACAAGUUUCAUUUAUAUAAUUUUUCAAGGGAUCUUAUAUCUUUUUUCACUCUUGUAUGCUUUUCAUACAAAUUUCACACAAGACAGAUACAAACUUUAUAAGAUUUAUAUAUAUCUUUUCCAUAUGGGUGGGGUCGAACUUACUUAAUACUACUACUGCACUAAGGUAUUUUUAAUAUACCUACAUCUUACUAACUGCACCCUAAUUGUAAGUAGUAUUAAGUCAGUGCACCAGAUUGUCUGGAGAUAAGCUGGAAAACAUUAACAUUGUCCAACAGAAAUGUCUUGAUUUAAAAAAAAAAAAAAAGAUCCCAGAUCUUAUGUUUAAACAAAAAUAGUAAAACCACAGAUCACUGUACAGAGUUAGGGACAGUAAUUAAAAACCAGUUCCAGUGAAGAAUCCAUACCAAAAUUUCCGGUUUGUCAAAGUUGUAUCAGUUCCUCUUCCUGAUAAGAGGAAUAUUUUUUCUUUCACUUUGCAGAGCAAUGGUGUCAAGCAUGGCAGUGGAGCUUCUGCACACCCACUUUCAAGUAUUUCUCAGGCUCAAAGAGAAUGAAGUCUUUCUUACACAUAAGCUGAGGAAAAAACAUGUAAAAUCAGAUUGUAGAUGCCCUUCAUCUCUUAGAGCACAUAAAAGACGUGUUCUCACUAAUGGAAAUGCUGUAUUCGGUUUAGGCUGCCCAAGAACAGGAGGGAUCUUAAACGUAAAAACGUUUUAAAACAGUCGUGUUGAUGUUGAAAAACACACAAACAUGGAUCAGGUCAGUAAAAGAAUCAAUAAUGAAUCUG